Molecule: unclassified non-coding RNA, 520 nt
Filed under: uncultured Glomus
Lineage: Eukaryota; Fungi; Glomeromycota; Glomeromycetes; Glomerales; Glomeraceae
Description: SSU rRNA
Rfam family: Eukaryotic small subunit ribosomal RNA
Source: RNAcentral
AGCAGCCGCGGUAAUUCCAGCUCCAAUAGCGUAUAUUAAAGUUGUUGCAGUUAAAAAGCUCGUAGUUGAAUUUCGGGAUCAAUAUAUCGGUCGUGCCUUGGUACGUACUGGUAUCAUUGGUUUCUCCUUUCUGACGAACCAUGAUGUCAUUAAUUUGGUGUUAUGGGAAGUUAGGACUGUUACUUUGAAAAAUUAGAGUGUUUAAAGCAGGCUUUAGCUUGAAUACAUUAGCAUGGAAUAAUGAAAUAGGACGUUCGAACCUAUUUUGUUGGUUUCUAGGAUCAACGUAAUGAUUAAUAGGGAUAGUUGGGGGCAUUAGUAUUCAAUUGUCAGAGGUGAAAUUCUUGGAUUUAUUGAAGACUAACUACUGCGAAAGCAUUUGCCAAGGAUGUUUUCAUUAAUCAAGAACGAAAGUUAGGGGAUCGAAGACGAUCAGAUACCGUCGUAGUCUUAACCAUAAACUAUGCCGACUAGGGAUCGGAUGAUGUUAAUUUUUUAAUGACUCAUUCGGCGCCUUACG